Molecule: ribosomal RNA, 253 nt
Filed under: uncultured bacterium
Lineage: Bacteria
Description: partial 16S ribosomal RNA
Rfam family: Bacterial small subunit ribosomal RNA
Source: RNAcentral
GACGAACCGUGCGAACGUUAUUCGGAAUAACUGGGCUUAAAGGGAGCGUAGGCGGGCUAUCAAGUCUGGGGUGAAAUCCCGCGGCUCAACCGUGGAACUGCCUCAGAUACUGACGGCCUCGAGGGAGAUAGGGGCAUGCGGAACUGUAGGUGGAGCGGUGAAAUGCGUUGAUAUCGGAAGGAACGCCGGUGGCGAAAGCGACACACUGGGUCUCAACUGACGCUGAGGCACGAAAGCCAGGGGAGCGAACGGG